GAAGUGCGAUAAGUAAUGUAAAGUGCAGAGCAUGUGAGUCAUCGAAACCUUGAACACAGAACAUCCUAGGGUCUCCCUAGGAUUCAUCUAGUUGAGUAUCGAUAUUUAUUAUCCUACCUUAUAAAGGUGUUUUGGCGGUGCAGUUUGCUCCGCUUAAAUUCAUAUCAAGAUAAGCUUUUAUGAAGCCCUAAACCAUUUAUGGAUUUUGGCAACAUGAUAGACUGUUCUUGUUAGGCAAAAACUACUUUGGGCAAAUCCUUCUCUAGCCGAGCUUAGGCAAGGCCACAAGGAAAUCCCAAUUUAAAAAUUGGAUCUCAACUAGAUGCGAUUACCCGCUGAAUUUAA
This 345-nucleotide unclassified non-coding RNA is filed under the name uncultured fungus. RNAcentral's name for it is "sequence contains ITS1". The stretch from base 1 to 101 matches the Rfam family "5.8S ribosomal RNA", at positions 50 to 154 of the family's 154-position model. The record is from RNAcentral. Lineage: Eukaryota; Fungi.